AAUUCGGAGAUGGGUUACGAUGGAUCCUAAAAGUGCCUGCAUGUAGAACUCUAGAGCAGUUCAAACGCAUCAGCCGCAUCCGCCCUUCGGUCUGAAGCUUUACCCAUGCGACUCAUCCUAUGUGAAGCUUCAGUUCCACUUCCAGAUGUAUUGGCAUUUGACGCGACGCUAGAUAACGAGCUUGGUUGUCCUUGCAUCUUGGUGAGCUUUGUUCAGGGAGGUUCUUUGUACGAUUGUUGGUUUGACAAAAUAUUUCCAAGGGAGAGAUGAUGGUGCACCGCACAAGGAUUUCACAGGAUAUUGCUCAUGCAAUGGUCGAACAGAGCCGGUUCUCACUUUCUACUGGUGGUGCCCUUCCAUUUGAUCGAGAUGGGAAUUUGAAUAAACCUAGUACUAUGAGAUUUGUUGACCAUCAAUCCACGCUUGAGCGACUAGGAAAUGACGAAGAGGACGAAUCAGCGCUCUAUUUUGAAGCAGGACCAUUUCAAGACGCAGCUCCAUGCUAUCUUCACGC
This 514-nucleotide small RNA is filed under the name Histoplasma capsulatum var. duboisii H88. Its description in RNAcentral is "Histoplasma capsulatum H88 hypothetical RNA". Lineage: Eukaryota; Fungi; Ascomycota; Eurotiomycetes; Onygenales; Ajellomycetaceae. The record is from RNAcentral.